This 466-nucleotide ribosomal RNA is filed under the name uncultured bacterium. RNAcentral describes it as "partial 16S ribosomal RNA". It matches the Rfam family "Bacterial small subunit ribosomal RNA", at positions 28 to 507 of the family's 1533-position model. The record is from RNAcentral.
GAUGAACGCUGGCGGCGUGCUUAACACAUGCAAGUCGAACGAUGAAGCCCAGCUUGCUGGGUGGAUUAGUGGCGAACGGGUGAGUAACACGUGAGUAACCUGCCCUUAACUCUGGGAUAAGCCUGGGAAACUGGGUCUAAUACCGGAUAGGAGCGUCCACCGCAUGGUGGGUGUUGGAAAGAUUUAUCGGUUUUGGAUGGACUCGCGGCCUAUCAGCUUGUUGGUGAGGUAAUGGCUCACCAAGGCGACGACGGGUAGCCGGCCUGAGAGGGUGACCGGCCACACUGGGACUGAGACACGUCCCAGACUCCUACGGGAGGCAGCAGUGGGGAAUAUUGCACAAUGGGCGCAAGCCUGAUGCAGCGACGCCGCGUGAGGGAUGACGGCCUUCGGGUUGUAAACCUCUUUCAGUAGGGAAGAAGCGAAAGUGACGGUACCUGCAGAAGAAGCACCGGCUAACUACGUG